This 238-nucleotide unclassified non-coding RNA is filed under the name Hevea brasiliensis (rubber tree). Lineage: Eukaryota; Viridiplantae; Streptophyta; Magnoliopsida; Malpighiales; Euphorbiaceae. The record is from RNAcentral.
AGCAAAGGCUAACAUUGCCUCACUGGAGACACCAACUGAUAUGGGUGUUAAUGUUAAUCCAGAGAAGGUGAGACGAGGUCCAAAACCAUUGAGAGUCUACUACAGAAAGAAUUUUAAGAAGAAGGAAGAUUCUGGAAUAGGACAGCUGGAAGGGAUUAAUUUGAAGGUUAUUCAGUUAGAGGGAAUCUCGGAUGGCACUCCUGACACUUCCUAAAGCAGCAGUAAAGAUAUAAAUAAG